UGGAGAGAUGGCUGAGUGGUCGAAAGCGACAGAUUGCUAAUCCGUUGUACGACAAAAACGUACCGAGGGUUCGAAUCCCUCUCUCUCCGU
This 90-nucleotide transfer RNA is filed under the name Cosmarium humile. RNAcentral's name for it is "tRNA-Ser". It matches the Rfam family "tRNA". Rfam says of the family: Transfer RNA (tRNA) molecules are approximately 80 nucleotides in length. Lineage: Eukaryota; Viridiplantae; Streptophyta; Zygnematophyceae; Desmidiales; Desmidiaceae. RNAcentral also lists the same sequence under 2 other names. The record is from RNAcentral.